Molecule: RNA transcript, 2106 nt
Organism: Varanus komodoensis (Komodo dragon)
Lineage: Eukaryota; Metazoa; Chordata; Lepidosauria; Squamata; Varanidae
Gene: GLT1D1
Gene name: glycosyltransferase 1 domain containing 1
Exons: 13
Source: RefSeq, a predicted model, not a curated record
UGCCGGAAGUCGGGCACGGCAGCCGGUGCAAAGGUGGGCGCCAUGCGGAUACUCCUGCUGGCGAGCCUGCGAGCCCAAACCGGGAACGGCACCACCGCGAGGAGGAUCCAGGUCCAUCUGGAAGCUGCUGGUCACAGGUGUACUCUCAAAGAUACUUUUGACUGCAAGUCUCCACUGAUGGUUUCGGAGCUCAUCUCCUCAGAGAACUUUGAGGCUGCUUUGGGUAUCCAUCUUUAUAAAGCAGGAAGACUUCUGCAAGGUAGCAGGAUUCCUUUUGGAAUCAUCUUCGGUGGGACGGAUAUCAAUGAAGACGCCAAGUCCGAUGAGAAGCUUCAGGUGAUGGGGCUGGUGCUGGAUGAGGCCAGGUUUGCUGUGUCUUUCACCGAGGCGAUGAAGGAAACCGCUGUAGCGUACUGGCCUCACGCCAGGAAUAAAAUAUACGUCCAGGCUCAAGGAAUCCAGACUGCCCCCGAUGCCUCUUUUAACUGGAAGGAAUUUCUUCAGAGUGCAGGGAUUUCCCAGGACAGCGACAGUCUCUGUGUCUUCCUCUUAAUUUGUGGACUGAGAAGAGUCAAGGAUCCUCUCUAUGUAGUGGAUGCUUUUGCAGAAUGGCACAGAGAGGAUUCCAGAGUGCACCUGAUUAUCAUUGGACCGGCAGUCGAUCCAGUAUUUGCAGAGGAAGUCAAAGAGAAAGUAAAGCGGGCGGAUGGGGUGCACUUGCUCCGUGAGAUUCCCCAGAAAGAUCUCCACGCGGUGGUGAAAAAAAGCUUCGCUGUUGUGAACAGUUCCAUUUCAGAGGGGAUGUCAGCUGCAAUCUUGGAGGCCAUGGAUUUAAGCAUCCCAGUGUUGGCGAGGAACAUCCCAGGAAAUGCGGCAAUAAUUGCCCACCAAGAAACGGGAUUGUUGUAUUCGACCCCCCAGGAAUUUGUUCGGCUCUCCCGAACCCUGACCGAGGAUCCAUUUUUGCACAGAAGACUUGUGAUGCGGGCAAAGGAGUAUGUCACGAAGCACCAUCUGUGGGACCACGAAAGGACCACCUAUCAAAACCUCAUGCUGAAGCUUCACUGACUCUCUUUGGCUCGAAGAGGGCCCACAAUUUGCAAACCCAACAGGUUUUGAUUAUGUGUGUAUACUUCAGCCCAAAUCUUCUUCCAUGCAAGUCUAGCAACAACUUGAACCUUGCUUGAUAGAGGCCACCUCUUUUGUUAGUCUGAUUCAAUCAAAUUUCAUCAGCCACCAGAACCACACAUGCAAAGUAAGUUGGCCUGGUAUGACUCCAAAAGCUAAUCGUGAAAAGCAACUUGACUAUUUUUCUUUCAUAUGCAUAUGAAUAUGUAUAUAUGAAUACAUAUGCAUAUAUAUAUAUAUAUGAAUGUAUACAUGUAUAUACAUAUACAUGUGCAUAUAUAUGAAUACAUAUAUACAUGUGUGUGUGAGAUAUAUACAUACAUAUUAACACAGCAGGGAUGGCAACUUGAAAAGGCUGGAAAGCAUGACUUGUGCCGCUGUCAGCAAGGGGUUAAGAAUUCUUAAAUUCUUUCCCUGGGCAUCUGGAUUCUGAGACCUGAAUGAGUUAUGCAGAGGAUCAGUUGUGCAAACUUGCUCUUAUUUGACAUACUACUGCAUUUGUGGUGGUUUUACUCAUCGGGCAGAGGUGUGAUGUAUUCGCCAUAAGCCUGGUUCCCCACCUCCACAAGCCCUACAAAAAUAAUCACGCCGCACGAGAAAACCAAAGAUCCCUUCGGUCCAGCACCGUUCUCACAACGACCCACCAGAUGCCUCCAGGAAGUGAUGUUAGGACUGCAACAGCCCGCCCAACUCCGAGCUGUUCCCCCCACACUCCAACUGACCUGUCGUCACUGGAUCCACUGACCCCCCUGCUCUGGCUUCUGAAAUCCGGGUGGGAAUUGUCCGCAAACAUUCAAGCAUCUCUUCAUAAGCAUAAGGUCUAGAGUGGGUGGGCGACAUGCAACCCACAGGCGCAUGGGACCUCACUAUCACCAAAAUUCAUUUCAAAAGCACAAACCAUCCUUCGUGACUACGAAACACCCACAGGGCCACAGUCUUACAUUCCCUAGUCACUGCAGAUCCCACUUUUAACCACCA